GGGCGUGUGAAUGUAGCGGAUAUCACAAGGGUAUGCGAUGCCUUUGACCUGGGUUCAAAUCCCAGCACGCCCA
RNAcentral lists this transfer RNA (73 nucleotides) under Candidatus Thalassarchaeaceae archaeon. RNAcentral's name for it is "tRNA-Arg". It matches the Rfam family "tRNA". From Rfam's summary of the family: Transfer RNA (tRNA) molecules are approximately 80 nucleotides in length. Their secondary structure includes four short double-helical elements and three loops (D, anti-codon, and T loops). Lineage: Archaea; Methanobacteriati; Thermoplasmatota; Candidatus Poseidoniia; Candidatus Poseidoniales; Candidatus Thalassarchaeaceae. The record is from RNAcentral.